Molecule: ribosomal RNA, 910 nt
Filed under: uncultured marine bacterium
Lineage: Bacteria
Description: bacterial SSU rRNA
Rfam family: Bacterial small subunit ribosomal RNA
Source: RNAcentral
AGAGUUUGAUCCUGGCUCAGGAUGAACGCUAGCGGCAGGCCUAAUACAUGCAAGUCGAGGGAGAAGUUUUGUGCUUGCACAGAAUGGGAACCGGCGAACGGGUGCGUAACACGUAUGCAACCUACCUAUAACUGGGGGAUAGCCCGAAGAAAUUCGGAUUAAUACCCUAUAAUAUUUACUUACCGCAUGGUAAGUAUCUUAAAACUCCGGUGGUUAUAGAUGGGCAUGCGGCUUAUUAGUUUGUUGGUGAGGUAACGGCUCACCAAGACUACGAUAAGUAGGGGGUCUGAGAGGAUGAUCCCCCACACUGGUACUGAGACACGGACCAGACUCCUACGGGAGGCAGCAGUAGGGAAUAUUGGACAAUGGACGAAAGUCUGAUCCAGCCAUGCCGCGUGCAGGAUGACGGCCCUAUGGGUUGUAAACUGCUUUUAUAUAGGAAGAAACCUUUCCACGUGUGGAAAGCUGACGGUACUAUACGAAUAAGGACCGGCUAACUCCGUGCCAGCAGCCGCGGUAAUACGGAGGGUCCAAGCGUUGUCCGGAUUUAUUGGGUUUAAAGGGUACGUAGGCGGGACUUUAAGUCAGUGGUGAAAGCCUCCAGCUUAACUGGAGAAUUGCCAUUGAAACUGAAGUUCUUGAGUAUGGAUGAGGUGGUUGGAAUAUAACAUGUAGCGGUGAAAUGCAUAGAUAUGUUAUAGAACACCAAUUGCGAAGGCAGAUCACUAAACCAUUACUGACGCUGAGGUACGAAAGCGUGGGGAGCGAACAGGAUUAGAUACCCUGGUAGUCCACGCCGUAAACGAUGUUCACUCGCUGUUGGCGAUAUACUGUCAGCGGCCAAGCGAAAGCAUUAAGUGAACCACCUGGGGAGUACGAUCGCAAGGUUGAAACUCAAAGGAAUUGACGG